GACGAACGCUGGCGGCGUGCCUAAUACAUGCAAGUCGAACGCACAGUUUAUACCGUAGCUUGCUACACCAUAGACUGACAGGUGCGAACCGGUGAGUAACGCUUACGUAACCUGCCUGGUAACGGCGGGAAACUAUUGGAAACACUAGCUAAUACCUCCUAAUACUUGUUAUUGCUUGGUAAUUAUUUGAAAGUUGGAAUUGCAUCACUACCUGAUGGCCCUUCGUUGUGUUAGCUGGUAUGUGAGGUAAGGGCUCACCGAGGCGAGGAUACAGAGCCGACAGGAGAGGGUGAUAGGCCACACGGGGACUGAGACACGGCCCAGACUCCUACGGGAGGCAGCAGUAGGGAAUCUUCGGCAAUGGGCGAAAGUCUGACCGAGCAACGCCGCGUGAGUGAAGAAGGUUUUCGGAUCGUAAAGCUCUGUUGUAAGAGAAGAACGGGUGUGAGAGUGGAAAGUUCACACUGUGACGGUAUCUUACCAGAAAGGGACGGCUAACUACGUG
Molecule: ribosomal RNA, 505 nt
Filed under: uncultured bacterium
Lineage: Bacteria
Description: partial 16S ribosomal RNA
Rfam family: Bacterial small subunit ribosomal RNA
Source: RNAcentral